This is an RNA transcript of Ruditapes philippinarum (Manila clam), 2306 nucleotides long. It is a transcript of the gene named vesicle transport protein SEC20-like, with no coding region annotated. NCBI's taxonomy places the organism in Eukaryota, Metazoa, Mollusca, Bivalvia, Venerida, Veneridae. The record is from RefSeq and is a predicted model, not a curated record. The transcript has 5 exons.
AAAAAAACAAGUAUGGCUGCCGACGACAUCCACGUCAGGCUAUGUCUACAAGAAAUUGUGAAAUUAGACCUUAAAGUUAAAGCGUAUAUACAGGCAGUGUUAUAGGCCACAUCCCACUGGGUAACAACCAAUACCCAAGUUAAUCCCUCCUCAAGUCAACCCAGCUCGAAGUUUUGUCAAUCUGGCUCCAAAAUUGGUUGUGAAAGUGGAUCAUUGAUGUUAAUAAAGUGAAGGUUCAAGUGUUUUGGAGUACAUGAUGAAACUAGCAGCAUUUCCAGUCUACUGUUUGUCAGGUGGUGUUCUUAUUGGAGCAGUUCUGACACAAUUGCUUUAUGUGUUCAUGCCAGAUUUCCCAAAUUUUGCCUAUUGGUAUAAAAAUGCAAAUUUGAAAGGGCCAGACACAAAAAUUGUCAUUGGAAUUCUUUCAGCAAGGGAAAACUUUCAUGCAAGGCAAUCUAUUAGGGAAACAUGGCUUCAUGGAGCUCAAGAAGAUGUGAUAUAUAAAUUCAUUGUUGGGAAAAAAGGUUGUGAAAUAAAUCCUAGAAAUAGAAAAGAUGUGUAUUCAUGUGAUGUGUUGAAUUUCACAUAUAACAGCCAUAAAAUUCAAGAUAAUCCUAAUUUCCCUCUUCUUUCUUUGGUUAAAUUUCAUGAGUCUAACAAGGAGUUAAAUACAGACAAUCUACAUAUUGUUUGGAAUGCUUCAGUCAUUAUCAGACAUCCAGUGAUAGUGAAGAGGAUAGGUUUGCUUUCAGCAGUGGAAUUAUCAGAAAAGCCUGUCACUGUGCAGCUGUAUGAUGAAAUAAGAGAGGAAGUUGUGCUCUCCACAAGAUUUAGUGUACUUGAUCAGGGGAUAAUCGAUGGAGCUAACACAAAUUUUGAAACAUACAGAUUCCAGCCUGUUAGUCAGGUUCUUCUCCCAAAAGAUUACGAAUGCACAUUGAGAAUUCUUUCAAGUGAAAAUAUAAAUAUUAAACAAGGUCCAUUUGGUAAACUAAAAUCAUAUUCAAUAAAUAAUUCUGGCAGAACCGUAGAGCUGUUACCUUUAGAUGAUAAAGGUUUUGUUAUGUAUGAAUUUGAAAACAAACUGUUUAUUGGAAACCUUAUCCUCUCUGUUGAUGAUUUAGAACAAUUGAAAAUGAUGCAGAAAAAUCAAGCAUUGUUUGAUGAAGAAUAUAAAAUUGUUCAGGAAAAGGUUGGCCAUCAAUUGGAGGAAGAAAAACGCAAAUAUGAUGACAUAUUGUUUGUAGAGGUUACAGAUGUGUACCGUAACCUUCCACUUAAACUGUUACAGUUUCAUCAGUGGGUUUCCAUGGAAAUAAAAACACAUUUUGUUAUGAAGACUGAUGAUGACUGCUUUGUGGAUAUUGAGAGAAUAUUGACCAUGCUGGACGCAUUAUCAAGGACUAAUACUGGUAAAAUUUGGCUGGGAAAUUUCAGGGAAAACUGGUUUGUGGAAAGAUUUGGGAAAUGGGCAGAAAAAGUGUUCCGUUCAACAGAAUAUCCUCAGUUUGCCUGUGGAUCUGGAAAUAUUGUUUCUAAGGAUAUCAGUGAUUGGUUGGCUAGGAAUGCAGGUGUUUUGUUUCCAUAUCAAGGAGAGGACACUUCAAUGGGAAUAUGGUUAAGUGCAAUAGGUCCGAAAUACUGGGGAAGUAAGAAAUGGUUGUGUGAUAAAGAAUGCCAUAAUAAUGCUUUUGUUAUACCACAAUUGUCUGUUGUGGAGAUGAGAUCAUUUUGGGAGAGUAAACAGAAAUGUGGCAAUAUUUGUGGAUGUCUGUGAAUAUUUUCUUUAAUUAUGCAGUACACACUGAUGUUUUUUUCAGUGACAAUUACAUUUACUUUUAGAAAAUCAAGUAUAUUUACAAUGAAUUGAAUAUGGAAACUAAACAGUAAUGUUCAUAGUGCAGCCUGUCGUGAUUACAAUGUAAUAAAGUUAUAUACUGUAAAUUAUUUAUCAAAAAUGUUGUGACAAUAAGAAGCUAAAUGCACUGCAGUUUACUAUGUACAUGUGGAUUGUUAUCAACUUGAACCAAAGUGGGAAAUUCAAAGAAUAAGAGAGUACAUGUAUAUAAUGUAGAAUGUCAAUAUACAUGUAGGUACUUAUGUGCAUAUAAGUUGGAAAUUACAAUAAUGACAUCUGGGAUACAAAUUUAGGAAGUCAUUUCAUAAAAGGACAUCAGAGACAGUAAAGAUAUUGAAGAACUAGAAGAUCUGAACAGUAAAGCUAGAAAUGUAUUGAAUCAACUGAAAACUAAAAUCCAGGAUCUGGAAAGACUUGGGAAGGAACAGGAUAGGGAGGAAGACAGACA